AGUGAACGCUGGCGGUAGGCCUAACACAUGCAAGUCGAACGGCAGCACAGUAAGAGCUUGCUCUUACGGGUGGCGAGUGGCGUACGGGUGAGGAAUACAUCGGAAUCUACUUUUUCGUGGGGGAUAACGUAGGGAAACUUACGCUAAUACCGCAUACGACCUACGGGUGAAAGCAGGGGAGCUUCGGACCUUGCGCGAUUGAAUGAGCCGAUGUCGGAUUAGCUAGUUGGCGGGGUAAAGGCCCACCAAGGCGACGAUCCGUAGCUGGUCUGAGAGGAUGAUCAGCCACACUGGAACUGAGACACGGUCCAGACUCCUACGGGAGGCAGCAGUGGGGAAUAUUGGACAAUGGGCGCAAGCCUGAUCCAGCCAUACCGCGUGGGUGAAGAAGGCCUUCGGGUUGUAAAGCCCUUUUGUUGGGAAAGAAAAGCAGCAGGUUAAUACCCCGCUGUUCUGACGGUACCCAAAGAAUAAGCACCGGCUAACUUCGUG
Molecule: ribosomal RNA, 492 nt
Filed under: uncultured bacterium
Lineage: Bacteria
Description: partial 16S ribosomal RNA
Rfam family: Bacterial small subunit ribosomal RNA
Source: RNAcentral